This 253-nucleotide ribosomal RNA is filed under the name uncultured bacterium. Its description in RNAcentral is "partial 16S ribosomal RNA". It matches the Rfam family "Bacterial small subunit ribosomal RNA", at positions 524 to 776 of the family's 1533-position model. The record is from RNAcentral.
UACAGAGGGUGCGAGCGUUAAUCGGAAUUACUGGGCGUAAAGCGUGCGUAGACGGCUAUCUAAGUCGGGUGUGAAAGCCCCGGGCUCAACCUGGGAAUUGCAUUCGAGACUGAAUAGCUAGGGUACGGUAGAGGGAAGCGGAAUUUCCGGUGUAGCGGUGAAAUGCGUAGAUAUCAGGUGGAACACCAGUGGCGAAGGCGGCUUUCUGGACGAUUACUGACGCUGAGACGCGAAAGCGUGGGGAGCAAACAGG